Molecule: long non-coding RNA, 761 nt
Filed under: Homo sapiens (human)
Lineage: Eukaryota; Metazoa; Chordata; Mammalia; Primates; Hominidae
Description: HSALNT0318154
Source: RNAcentral
CGCCACCCGUCUGGGGCCCGAAAGGAGGGAGCUUUCCCUCUGUCCCCCAGCCUUUGGACUGUCACCAAACAAGCCAUUCGUUCACCAAAUACUUUUUAAGCGCCUACCAUGUGCCUGACAAGGGAUAUGUAACGGUGAGAAAAACUAGGUGUGGUCCAGGCCCUUCAGGGACUCAGGGGCUCGUGGAAGAAGUGGAUAUUGAAGUACUUAUCACACAAAGGAGGAUAAAAGUACGAUAGCGAUAUCUACCACGAAGCUGUUGUUCCACACCAGAACCAAAUGAGCGCAAGAUCUGACAAAAAAAAAAGGUUCAUCUUUUAUUCUUCCAAACACUUUCAUUUAAAUCAAGAGGAUGGGAUGUGGUUAUUACUGUGUUUUUAGACAAAAUCAAUGGUUUCUGGCUCUGAGAUGUUGCAUACACCCUCUCAGUCCCUGUAUCCUGAGAUGGAGUCACCUGAGAAUCCACAGCAAGUCCUAACCAGGGAUGGGUCUGGGUGAUUAAGGAAGAUUGGCUUCAGAACUGGGCCAGGGGCACUGCUUUGCUUUUGCUGUUUUGAUCAGCUCUCUGCCUGCAGGAGACGAGGAAAACCAAUGGGAACAGAUAGGGUCUCUCUCUCUGCCACUCAGGCCAGAGUGCAGUUGACGCAGAGCAGGGGAGCCCUGAAAUGGAGCAUAGUGUGUCCGGAACUGGUGGGUUCUUGGUCUCACUGACUUCAAGAAUGAAGCUGCGGACCCUCGGGAUGAGUGUCACAGUUCUUAAA